This 505-nucleotide long non-coding RNA is filed under the name Elaeis guineensis (African oil palm). RNAcentral describes it as "long non-coding RNA (EGUI_LNC016220)". Lineage: Eukaryota; Viridiplantae; Streptophyta; Magnoliopsida; Arecales; Arecaceae. The record is from RNAcentral.
GAUUGUUAGAAAUGGUAUUAGAGAUACACUUGGCCUAUAGUUAAUAUGGACUAGAGGACAUUGUAUCAUAAGCUUAUUUUAUGCCGACCACAGGCUAAUUGCGAGAAUCUUGGACUUCAAUUGAGUAGUAUAUGAAGACUCAUGCUAGCAUACGUUUAAUCCGAUCUUGGGGAUUUAUAUAUAGUCGAGAAAACCUAAAAAAUACAUUGUAUCUAGCCUUUUUCAAUGAGAUCGUGGAUUGUGACUGCGAUAAUGUUCAUAAAACAUAAAGAGUAGCACACUAAAUCUUGCAUAGCGAAAAAAUGAUAAAACCCAAUUUAUCAAUUGACUAAUAUGCAAUUAGAAUUUGCCUCAUUGGAUGAGAAUCAACCAAGAAGUGCACAAUUGAUAGAUUGGACUAGAGGGUGAAGGAGGAAGAGUGGGAGAUGUUGGCGAUUCUCUAGUUUUAAUGAUUUUUGAGAUGCUAUAUAAUGUAUUUAGGUUGUUUGUAGUAUUGAUUUUGAGA